Homo sapiens (human) is the source of this 1207-nucleotide long non-coding RNA. Lineage: Eukaryota; Metazoa; Chordata; Mammalia; Primates; Hominidae. The record is from Ensembl.
AGUUCCCCCUUUAUUGUGGGCCCUCCUCAGUGCCAACAUUGCUUUGUCUCUCGCUGGAGAAGCCUGUGAGAACGAGGAUGGGCAAAGUGUCAGGCUCUUGGUGCAGCUGAAAAUCCUUUGAGAUGGAAGAAAUGGCUGGAACAAAGGGGCAGAGGAACAAAAAGCCCUGAACUGCUUCGCCCCUGCCUCGUGGGGUCUUUAUCAUCUUAAACCUUGGGAUUUGGGCUUUGAUCAACUCGGCCUUCCUGGGCCUCGGGGAGAGAGACGGACUGCCUCCGGGUGCUCAUGACCUUUCCAGCAGUAAGCCAAUAAUGUAUGACUCCUGCGUUGCCGUUGCUCGUUUGAGAGAUAAGCCACAUUUUUUGCUGUGAGAUCAACACACUCCUUUCUAAGUUUUUGUCAAAAUCAUAACUUAUGAAAAGCAACUCUGGGGAUGUUGACAAAACUGGAAAAACAGAUGUCUUGAGCCAACUGGGAUCAAUAUGAGCCGAGCAGAAGCUUGAGAAACUCAGGAACAUCUGUCCAGUCCCUGGGAUGGUGAGGCUAUAACCACAAAGGAAUAAGAGAAGACGACUAGUUUUGUAAUGGGAUUUGCUCUCUUUUGAGGAUCAAGAGCCACAGAAUGCUAAAGGGAGGCAGAGUCUCGGAGGUCCCCUGUGAAGUGGGAAAUCACCUGGAUGCAGUGGGGCCCUUCAAGUGCAUCACCAAAAAAAACCAUCCCAGAAGGCACAGUGGAUUGAAGAGGGGGGCAGUGCUGAGUCAUUCACGUGGUGUGUGAGGGCUCCUGUUUGUAAAUCAGGGAUUCUUGCAGCCUGCUUUUUCAGGGACAUUGGCUGCUGUCUUCUGACCCACCCUGUGUGGCUUUGGCGUCUCCUGUGACCUCCCAGUAUGGGUCUUGGCCUCAUCCUGCCUCUUUGUCUUUCUGGCCCACCACCCACAGCUUGAAUCUCAGGCUCCAACAGUUGCCUGACCCCCAGAUUCUGAUGACAGCCUACCUACUUGUUCUUCAGGCCCUCACCAGACUCACUGCCCAGACACACCACACAGGAGAACAUGAAAGGGUGAAUGAAUCUUUCAUCAUUUGAUGACCAAGUUGGCAUUCUUUUACAUUCCAGCCACCAGAGGAAGGUGUAUUUUAACACAAUUGCCCUCACAUCCUCCUUAACAGGAUUUACAUAAGUUUAUUAACACAUAUGUUUCUACAAAA